This 259-nucleotide ribosomal RNA is filed under the name uncultured Staphylococcus sp. Its description in RNAcentral is "partial 16S ribosomal RNA". It matches the Rfam family "Bacterial small subunit ribosomal RNA", at positions 103 to 356 of the family's 1533-position model. Lineage: Bacteria; Bacillati; Bacillota; Bacilli; Caryophanales; Staphylococcaceae. The record is from RNAcentral.
CGGGUGAGUAACACGUGGAUAACCUACCUAUAAGACUGGGAUAACUUCGGGAAACCGGAGCUAAUACCGGAUAAUAUUUUGAACCGCAUGGUUCAAAAGUGAAAGACGGUCUUGCUGUCACUUAUAGAUGGAUCCGCGCUGCAUUAGCUAGUUGGUAAGGUAACGGCUUACCAAGGCAACGAUGCAUAGCCGACCUGAGAGGGUGAUCGGCCACACUGGAACUGAGACACGGUCCAGACUCCUACGGGAGGCAGCAGNG